GUGCAGAAGAGGAGAGUGGAAUUUCCACGUGUAGCGGUGAAAUGCGUAGAGAUGUGGAGGAACACCAGUGGCGAAGGCGACUCUCUGGUCUGUAACUGACGCUGAGGAGCGAAAGCGUGGGGAGCGAACAGGAUUAGAUACCCUGGUAGUCCACGCCGUACACGAUGAGUGCUAAGUGUUAGGGGGUUUCCGCCCCUUAGUGCUGCAGCUAACGCAUUAAGCACUCCCCCNGGGGAGUACGGUCGCAAGACUGAAACUCAAAGGAAUUGACGGGGGCCCGCACAAGCGGUGGAGCAUGUGGUUUAAUUCGAAGCAACGCGAACAACCUUACCAGGUCUUGACAUCCUCUGACNAUCCUAAAGAUAUGACGUCCCCUUC
Molecule: ribosomal RNA, 378 nt
Filed under: Bacillus sp. (in: firmicutes)
Lineage: Bacteria; Bacillati; Bacillota; Bacilli; Caryophanales; Bacillaceae
Description: bacterial SSU rRNA
Rfam family: Bacterial small subunit ribosomal RNA
Source: RNAcentral